CCUACGGGAGGCAGCAGUGGGGGAUAUUGCACAAUGGGGGAAACCCUGAUGCAGCGACGCCGCGUGGGUGAAGAAGCGCCUCGGCGCGUAAAGCCCUGUCAGCAGGGAAGAAAAUGACGGUACCUGAAGAAGAAGCCCCGGCUAACUACGUGCCCGCAGCCGCGGUAAUACGUAGGGGGCAAGCGUUAUCCGGAUUUACUGGGUGUAAAGGGGGCGCAGACGGCGAUGCAAGCCAGGAGUGAAAGCCCGGGGCCCAACCCCGGGACUGCUCUUGGAACUGCGUGGCUAGAGUGCAGGAGGGGCAGGCGGAAUUCCUGGGGUAGCGGUGAAAUGCGUAGAUAUCAGGAGGAACACCGGUGGCGAAGGCGGCCUGCUGGACUGCAACUGACGUUGAGGCCCGAAAGCGUGGGGAGCAAACAGGAUUAGAUACCCCAGUAGUC
This 440-nucleotide ribosomal RNA is filed under the name uncultured bacterium. RNAcentral describes it as "partial 16S ribosomal RNA". It matches the Rfam family "Bacterial small subunit ribosomal RNA", at positions 338 to 795 of the family's 1533-position model. The record is from RNAcentral.